This 84-nucleotide microRNA precursor is filed under the name Bombyx mori (domestic silkworm). Its description in RNAcentral is "mir-2807 microRNA precursor family". It matches the Rfam family "mir-2807 microRNA precursor family". Lineage: Eukaryota; Metazoa; Arthropoda; Insecta; Lepidoptera; Bombycidae. The record is from Rfam by way of RNAcentral.
UUAACUCAAAUUUCUAUGCAGUUGGAACAGCGCCCCUAGCGGCAAACGUAGACAAACGUUCCAACUCCUUACAAAUUUGAGUUA